This 468-nucleotide ribosomal RNA is filed under the name uncultured bacterium. RNAcentral describes it as "partial 16S ribosomal RNA". It matches the Rfam family "Bacterial small subunit ribosomal RNA", at positions 28 to 507 of the family's 1533-position model. The record is from RNAcentral.
GACGAACGCUGGCGGCGUGCUUAACACAUGCAAGUCGAACGAAAAGACGCUGCUCUUGUGGCGUUCUCGUGAGGCGCACGGGGGAGUAAAACGUGUGUAUACCGCCCCUGACUGUGGGAUAACACCAGGAAACUGCGGCUCAUACCCGGGAGGAUCUACUGCUCCAUGUGGGGGAAUGGAAAGUUUCGGCGGUUGGGGAUGGACUCGCUGGUUAUCCGCUUGUUUGUGGAGUAGGGGCUUACCAAGGCUUUGACGGAUAGGCGGCCUGAGAGGGUGACCGGGGACAAUGGGCCUGAGAGACGGCGCAGAAGGGUACGGGACGCAGCAGGGGGGAAUCUUGCACAAUGAGCCGAAGUCUGAUGCAGCAACGUCCCGAGCGGGAUGACGUGCUACGGGUGGAAAACCAAUGUGGACGGUAACGUAGAGGGAGUGACGGUAAUGGGUAAAGAAGCACCGGCUAACUACGUG